Molecule: transfer RNA, 38 nt
Filed under: Calisoga longitarsis
Lineage: Eukaryota; Metazoa; Arthropoda; Arachnida; Araneae; Nemesiidae
Description: tRNA-Asn
Source: RNAcentral
AAGGAAAUAAGCUUUUGGCGGUUUCAAUGUUAAUGAAA